AGUGAACGCUGGCGGUAGGCCUAACACAUGCAAGUCGAACGGCAGCACAGUAAGAGCUUGCUCUUACGGGUGGCGAGUGGCGGACGGGCGAGGAAUACAUCGGAAUCUACUUUUUCGUGGGGGAUAACGUAAGGAAACUUACGCUAAUACCGCAUACGACCUACGGGGGAAAGCAGGGGAUCUUCGGACCUUGCGCGAUUGAAUUAGCCGAUGUCGGAUUAGCUAGUUGGCGGGGUAAAGGCCCACCAAGGCGACGAUCCGUAGCUUGUCUGAGAGGAUGAUCAGCCACACUGGAACUGAGACACGGUCCAGACUCCUACGGGAGGCAGCAGUGGGGAAUAUUGGACAAUGGGCGCAAGCCUGAUCCAGCCAUACCGCGUGGGUGAAGAAGGCCUUCGGGUUGUAAAGCCCUUUUGUUGGGAAAGAAAAGCAGCAGGUUAAUACCCCGCUGUUCUGACGGUACCCAAAGAAUAAGCACCGGCUAACUUCGUG
RNAcentral lists this ribosomal RNA (492 nucleotides) under uncultured bacterium. RNAcentral describes it as "partial 16S ribosomal RNA". It matches the Rfam family "Bacterial small subunit ribosomal RNA", at positions 29 to 507 of the family's 1533-position model. The record is from RNAcentral.